UACGGAGGAUGCGAGCGUUAUCCGGAUUUAUUGGGUUUAAAGGGUGCGUAGGCGGAAUAUCAAGUCAGCGGUAAAAAUUCGGGGCUCAACUCCGGACGUGCCUCUAAUACUGUAUGACUAGAGAAUAGAUGCGGUAGGCGGAAUGUAUGGUGUAGCGGUGAAAUGCGUAGAGAUCAUACAGAACACCGAUUGCGAAGGCAGCUUACCAAACUAUAUCUGACGUUGAGGCACGAAAGCGUGGGGAGCAAACAGG
Molecule: ribosomal RNA, 253 nt
Filed under: uncultured Rikenellaceae bacterium
Lineage: Bacteria; Pseudomonadati; Bacteroidota; Bacteroidia; Bacteroidales; Rikenellaceae
Description: partial 16S ribosomal RNA
Rfam family: Bacterial small subunit ribosomal RNA
Source: RNAcentral